CCACAUAUUUUUUUCAAAGUUGAU
Molecule: non-coding RNA, 24 nt
Filed under: Arabidopsis thaliana (thale cress)
Lineage: Eukaryota; Viridiplantae; Streptophyta; Magnoliopsida; Brassicales; Brassicaceae
Source: RNAcentral